GACGAACGCUGGCGGCGUGCUUAACACAUGCAAGUCGAACGGAAAGGCCCUGCUUUUGUGGGGUGCUCGAGUGGCGAACGGGUGAGUAACACGUGAGUAACCUGCCCUUGACUUUGGGAUAACUUCAGGAAACUGGGGCUAAUACCGGAUAGGAGCUCCUGCUGCAUGGUGGGGGUUGGAAAGUUUCGGCGGUUGGGGAUGGACUCGCGGCUUAUCAGCUUGUUGGUGGGGUAGUGGCUUACCAAGGCUUUGACGGGUAGCCGGCCUGAGAGGGUGACCGGCCACAUUGGGACUGAGAUGCGGCCCAGCCUCCUACGGGAGGCAGCAGUGGGGAAUAUUGCACUAUGGGCGGAAGCCUGAUGCAGCAACGCCGCGUGCGGGAUGACGGCCUUCGGGUUGUAAACCGCUUUCGCCUGUGACGAAGCGUGAGUGACGGUAAUGGGUAAAGAAGCACCGGCUAACUACGUG
Molecule: ribosomal RNA, 468 nt
Filed under: uncultured bacterium
Lineage: Bacteria
Description: partial 16S ribosomal RNA
Rfam family: Bacterial small subunit ribosomal RNA
Source: RNAcentral